RNAcentral lists this ribosomal RNA (240 nucleotides) under uncultured bacterium. RNAcentral describes it as "partial 16S ribosomal RNA". It matches the Rfam family "Bacterial small subunit ribosomal RNA", at positions 94 to 334 of the family's 1533-position model. The record is from RNAcentral.
AGCGGCGGACGGGUGAGUAACGCGUGGGUAACCUGCCUCAUACAGGGGGAUAACAGUUGGAAACGGCUGCUAAUACCGCAUAAGCGCACAGUACCGCAUGGUACGGCGUGAAAAACUCCGGUGGUAUGAGAUGGACCCGCGUCUGAUUAGGUAGUUGGUGGGGUAACGGCCUACCAAGCCGACGAUCAGUAGCCGACCUGAGAGGGUGACCGGCCACAUUGGGACUGAGACACGGCCCAG